AGAACAUUCGAAGCGUCGGUUUACUGAGCAAUAUCACUCGGUCGGUGGACGAUCUUCCCUUUGUCGU
This 67-nucleotide microRNA precursor is filed under the name Bombyx mori (domestic silkworm). RNAcentral describes it as "mir-2774 microRNA precursor family". It matches the Rfam family "mir-2774 microRNA precursor family". The record is from Rfam by way of RNAcentral. Lineage: Eukaryota; Metazoa; Arthropoda; Insecta; Lepidoptera; Bombycidae.